Molecule: long non-coding RNA, 1220 nt
Organism: Etheostoma spectabile (orangethroat darter)
Lineage: Eukaryota; Metazoa; Chordata; Actinopteri; Perciformes; Percidae
Exons: 3
Source: RefSeq, a predicted model, not a curated record
UUGGAUACAUUGCUUGAGUAUUUUCUCCACUGCUAACACCUAAUAUAUGUAUCUCAUCUUUUGCAGUUUAAGUUGUAAAGCAGAUUGUGGCAACCUCCUAGGGAUGGAGUAUGAAUGUGGCAGUGCAAAGAAUGCAGUUUGGAAUUAGCUAGCAGAUUAAAGGUGUUGCAAAAUGGCAAGUCCAGCUGUCCUGCGGAUCAUUUUUGGUGACGUGUCUGACUCUAGAAAACUGCACCUUCCUUCUGGAAUUCCAGCAUCAGUGGAAGAACUACAUGUGCUAAUCAAGACAUUCUUUCAAUUGAAAGAGGACUUCCGUAUGCAAUACAUGGAUUCAGAUUUUAAUGAGUUCAUUAACCUAACUUCAGUGUUUGACAUUCAAAACAAAAGCACACUGAAAAUAAUCUUUAAUCCUAUUUUGUCACCUGUGGAGCCCUGCAUCACUUUGUACACAGUAGACUCUUUUGGUGAGACCUCGGCUACCACUUUCUCAGAGCCUGAAACCCCUGUUUCGUCAAUAGCCUCAUCCUGCAGUGACGAUACGCUGUACACAUCAACACCGCAUUCAUCCCCAGAAACUCAGCCCUCAAGAUUGGCCUCCUGGCCAAAGAUUUUUGUAGUCCCUAAAUUCACCUAUGAGGCAGAAUUUGAACUACAACAGAAAAACACAGAGUUUGAGACCAAUGGAACAUACUUUAGCCCUGGCCCAAAGCUAAAGGGGGUCAUCCUUGAUGGCCUUGCGCAAGAAAUGAUGAAAUACACAAAGUAUCCAAGACUAUCAGUGUGAAGAGGUAGCAGCAGCUUUGACAAGGGCCCAUCCUUGUCUGGGCAGUUGGGAUCCAAGACAGGAUUUUGGGGAUGGAAACAGUCGCUUAAGUAUAAAAUGCAAAACUAUCGUACAAAACUUGGCAGACUUGGACAUCCUGAAACCCGUGUGAACUCUUUGAAAACAAACGAGAAGGCCAAGGCAAAGCUGCACCCAAAAAUCAAGAAGCCUAGAAAGGCUGAAGUUAACUAUAUUCCUCUGCACCCAAAAGGCGAGACCACAGAAGUUUAGAGAAUGAGAGAAUUGCUUUAUUGUCAGAAGUGAAAAAGCGUGACAAUGAAGUGGUGAUAAAAGAAAAAAUGGGAAAAACUUCUCCCACAGACGACUAGAGAUCGUGGAGCAGAGGCCCCUGAUAGAAGAUGUCGUAAACAGAUGGCCUGCCUUAUUCCAGGAGAGU